GACGAACGCUGGCGGCGUGCUUAACACAUGCAAGUCGAACGGAAAGGCCCUGCUUUUGUGGGGUGCUCGAGUGGCGAACGGGUGAGUAACACGUGAGUAACCUGCCCUUGACUUUGGGAUAACUUCAGGAAACUGGGGCUAAUACCGGAUAGGAUCUCCUGCUGCAUGGUGGGGGUUGGAAAGUUUCGGCGGUUGGGGAUUGACUCGCGGCUUAUCAGCUUGUUUGUGGGGUAGUGGCUUACCAAGGCUUUGACGGGUAGCCGGCCUGGGAGGGUGACCGGCGACAUUGGGACUGAGAUACGGCCCAGACGCCAACGGGAGGCAGGAGUGGGGAAUAUUGCACAAUGGGCGGAAGCCUGAUGCAGCAACGCCGGGUGCGGGAUGACGGGCUUCGGGUUGUAAACGGAUUUCGCAUGUGACGAAGCGUGAGUGACGGUAAUGGGUAAAGAAGCACCGGCUAACUACGUG
RNAcentral lists this ribosomal RNA (468 nucleotides) under uncultured bacterium. RNAcentral describes it as "partial 16S ribosomal RNA". It matches the Rfam family "Bacterial small subunit ribosomal RNA", at positions 28 to 507 of the family's 1533-position model. The record is from RNAcentral.